RNAcentral lists this long non-coding RNA (839 nucleotides) under Marmota monax (woodchuck). The record is from RNAcentral. Lineage: Eukaryota; Metazoa; Chordata; Mammalia; Rodentia; Sciuridae.
GUUUAUCUACCGGGAAGGAAAGAAACAAAAAUGUGUGUGUGUGUGUGUGUGUGUGUGUGUGUAGAAACUGGAAAUGAACUUAUUUUAGACAAACACAUACUUGUUUUCAUUUGAUGACGCUAAUAAAUACACUGGAAUAAGAAAUACAUUGGAUAGACAAGAUCCUACAGCGACUAUUUGCUAAGAAAUGUUUCAAUAGUGAACUUUAAAUAAUUUAGUGAAUUUUAAAAGUUUAAUGAAUUUAAGUAUCAGAACGUUAAUUGCCUGAUGUAGUGGCACACACUUGUAAUCCCAGCUAUUCGGGAAGCUAAGGUAGGAGGAUCUCAAGUUUGAGGCCAGUUUGGGUAACUUAGAAAGACCCAGUCUCAAAAAUAAAAAAGGGUUGUGGAUGUAGCUCAGUGGGAAACUGCUCUUGGGUAAUUCCCAGUAACCCUCUCCACACCACAUACACACACACAAAGGGGGGGGGGACCUAGAAAAAUUAAAAAGAAAACUCUGCUGCUAGGAAAAUAUCUUCCUGAUUUCAUAUGUAACAUGUGAUUAUAAAAUGAUGAUUUUUAUCAGGUAAAUGUAGAAACCAAUUCUAGCCUCUUAAAAGCAACAAUUAAAAAGAUCAACUUCCAACUUUGUCUGUGGAUUUGAGUAGCUAUUUGGCCAACUGACUUAUGAGUACAAUCAACCAAACUGUAACUGAUACUCUUAAAUGAAAUUCUGAAGGUAGCAUUUUAAUACUUACAAAAUUGUACUUAAAAAAGGAAAGUCUGUGACUGUUUUUAAGAUGAUCAACCUGUGGGAAAUAUGCUUAUUAAAAUUCAUUGCAUUUGAAGGCAAUGAUAGUA